GAUGAACGCUAGCUACAGGCUUAACACAUGCAAGUCGAGGGGAAACGACAGAGGAGGCUUGCUUCCUUUGGGCGUCGACCGGCGCACGGGUGAGUAACGCGUAUCCAACCUUCCCGCAAGUAAGGGAUAACCCGUAGAAAUGCGGCCUAAUACCUUAUGUUUUCCUUAGAGGGCAUCUGAUGAGGAACAAAGAUCCGUCGCUUGCGGAUGGGGAUGCGUCUGAUUAGUUAGUCGGCGGGGUAACGGCCCACCGAGACGACGAUCAGUAGGGGUUCUGAGAGGAAACGUCCCCCACAUUGGAACUGAGACACGGUCCAAACUCCGUACGGGAGGCAGCAGUGAGGAAUAUUGGUCAAUGGGCGGAAGCCUGAACCAGCCAAGUAGCGUGCAGGACGACGGCCCUA
RNAcentral lists this ribosomal RNA (404 nucleotides) under uncultured bacterium. Its description in RNAcentral is "bacterial SSU rRNA". It matches the Rfam family "Bacterial small subunit ribosomal RNA", at positions 28 to 419 of the family's 1533-position model. The record is from RNAcentral.